Molecule: unclassified non-coding RNA, 211 nt
Filed under: uncultured Inocybe
Lineage: Eukaryota; Fungi; Basidiomycota; Agaricomycetes; Agaricales; Cortinariaceae
Description: sequence contains ITS2
Source: RNAcentral
AAGUUCUCAAACCAUGUUGAUUGUUUUUCAAUGUGGCUUGGAUGUGGGGGUGUGCAGGCCUUUUGAAGGGUCAGCUCCCCUGAAAUGCAUUAGUGGUAUCCGAGCAGAUAAACUACCUCAGGUGUGAUAAAAUGUAUCUAUGCCUUGGUGAGCUGCAUGAAAUGGAUUGCACUGCUCAUAAAAAGUGGCUGACCGUGCCACGCUUUGAUGA